CGUGUAGGCGGGCAGAUAAGUCAGACGUGAAAUUUCCCUGCUCAACGGGGAAACGGCGUUUGAAACUAUCUGUCUUGAGUACGGGAGAGGAAAGUGGAAUUCCUGGUGUAGCGGUGAAAUGCGUAGAUAUCAGGAGGAACACCGGUGGCGAAGGCGGCUUUCUAGCCCGAUACUGACGCUGAGGCGCGAAGGCUAGGGUAGCAAACA
This 207-nucleotide ribosomal RNA is filed under the name uncultured bacterium. RNAcentral's name for it is "partial 16S ribosomal RNA". It matches the Rfam family "Bacterial small subunit ribosomal RNA", at positions 568 to 774 of the family's 1533-position model. The record is from RNAcentral.